GUCUGCCUGUUGUUUCAACUUUGAUCUGACCGUACUCAUUGCCUGGCCAUGAGCUGGAUAGAGGCACAAUCUGAGGAUAGUUCCCCAAAUCAUGGGAAAUUGAUGUGAAAGUUGUGUGAGAGCAUCACUGGAGCUGGCUUGGGACCCAUUCCAAGUAGAUUGCGCCUGAAGGAGUCACAGAGUUUAUAGUCAUUCUUGGCAGCAAGGCCAGAGGGAGUCAGAAGAGUAAACAAAACAAUGCAGCAGUUUCACAUUGCUCUUCAAAGACAAUAUGGUGAAGAUGACCCAACUGGCAAGGACCAAGAAACGGAAUGGAGGAUGAGAACAACAGCUAUGUAUGCUUUCAGUGGUCAAAUUUGGUGGACGUCUACAAAAUGAUUUUAUGGGGUUAGGAAAUGCAAGUUCUCCAGCCUGUACCUCACAAUUUCACUAUCACUGUUUCUAGAGUUAGCAUUGUCAGCCUAUAAUGAGGUUUGGUCAUAGAAAUGUAUCCAAGACUUCUAAUAUUUCAUCAAUUCCAAUCAAAAUCUUCAAAGAGAUAGAAGUUAAAAAUGAAUUUAAUGUUUAACUGUAACAGCAACAAAUGAUGGGCUCUUCAUUAGAUGUUUGAAGUGAGAGGCUAACAACCAUCAUAUGGAGACUGCAUGCUCUGACUCUGAAAUUUAACCUUAAUAGAAGUUAAGUUGUGCAGUGUAUAGAGAGUUCUAAGUCCUUCUUUGACCCUUUCUGAUUAUAUGUGUUCUUUUUUUUUUUUUUGAAAAUUUUAUUUGGGUUUUCACAAAAACAAAAUACAAAUAAAACAUCUUUUUUGAAACUAGCA
This 820-nucleotide long non-coding RNA is filed under the name Notechis scutatus (mainland tiger snake). RNAcentral describes it as "lncRNA (ENSNSUG00000014034.1)". Lineage: Eukaryota; Metazoa; Chordata; Lepidosauria; Squamata; Elapidae. The record is from RNAcentral.